GUGAAUCAUCGAGCCUUUGAACGCAGCUUGCGCCUUUUGGUAUUCCGAAAGGCAUGCCUGUUUGAGUGUUGUGUAGACUCAACCUCAAGGGGUUUCUUGAGGAUGGAUUUGGAUGUCUGCCUCUUGGCUCAUCUCGAAAGCGUUAGUGGAUAGCCACGGUAGAGAUGUGAUAAGUUUCAUCUGGACCGCUGGUGACACUCUGCUCACAACCACCCUGGCCCUCACAUGGGGGCCGCCUUUUUGCUAUGGACCUCAAAUCAGGUAGGACUACCCGCUGAACUUAAGCAUAUCAAUAAGCGGAGG
RNAcentral lists this ribosomal RNA (303 nucleotides) under uncultured fungus. RNAcentral describes it as "eukaryotic LSU rRNA". The stretch from base 1 to 71 matches the Rfam family "5.8S ribosomal RNA", at positions 84 to 154 of the family's 154-position model. The record is from RNAcentral. Lineage: Eukaryota; Fungi.